This 177-nucleotide unclassified non-coding RNA is filed under the name uncultured Leotiomycetes. RNAcentral's name for it is "sequence contains ITS1". Lineage: Eukaryota; Fungi; Ascomycota; Leotiomycetes. The record is from RNAcentral.
ACGAUUGAAGUAACCCGGGACCCCGCAAGGGGCCUCCGGGCACACCUUCCACCCUUUGUUUACCAACUUUGUUGCUUUGGCAGGCCCGUCCUCGGACCGCCGGCUCCGGCCGGCCCGUGCCUGCCAGAGGACCCAAACUCUGUUUGUCUUUGCAGUCUGAGUACUAUAUAAUAGUUA